This 1345-nucleotide ribosomal RNA is filed under the name uncultured bacterium. Its description in RNAcentral is "partial 16S ribosomal RNA". It matches the Rfam family "Bacterial small subunit ribosomal RNA", at positions 28 to 1380 of the family's 1533-position model. The record is from RNAcentral.
GACGAACGCUGGCGGCGUGCUUAACACAUGCAAGUCGAACGGAAAGGCCCUGCUUUUGUGGGGUGCUCGAGUGGCGAACGGGUGAGUAACACGUGAGUAACCUGCCCUUGACUUUGGGAUAACUUCAGGAAACUGGGGCUAAUACCGGAUAGGAGCUCCUGCUGCAUGGUGGGGGUUGGAAAGUUUCGGCGGUUGGGGAUGGACUCGCGGCUUAUCAGCUUGUUGGUGGGGUAGUGGCUUACCAAGGCUUUGACGGGUAGCCGGCCUGAGAGGGUGACCGGCCACAUUGGGACUGAGAUACGGCCCAGACUCCUACGGGAGGCAGCAGUGGGGAAUAUUGCACAAUGGGCGGAAGCCUGAUGCAGCAACGCCGCGUGCGGGAUGACGGCCUUCGGGUUGUAAACCGCUUUCGCCUGUGACGAAGCGUGAGUGACGGUAAUGGGUAAAGAAGCACCGGCUAACUACGUGCCAGCAGCCGCGGUGAUACGUAGGGUGCGAGCGUUGUCCGGAUUUAUUGGGCGUAAAGGGCUCGUAGGUGGUUGAUCGCGUCGGAAGUGUAAUCUUGGGGCUUAACCCUGAGCGUGCUUUCGAUACGGGUUGACUUGAGGAAGGUAGGGGAGAAUGGAAUUCCUGGUGGAGCGGUGGAAUGCGCAGAUAUCAGGAGGAACACCAGUGGCGAAGGCGGUUCUCUGGGCCUUUCCUGACGCUGAGGAGCGAAAGCGUGGGGAGCGAACAGGCUUAGAUACCCUGGUAGUCCACGCUGUAAACGGUGGGUACUAGGUGUGGGGUCCAUUCCACGGGUUCCGUGCCGUAGCUAACGCUUUAAGUACCCCGCCUGGGGAGUACGGCCGCAAGGCUAAAACUCAAAGGAAUUGACGGGGCCCCGCACAAGCGGCGGAGCAUGCGGAUUAAUUCGAUGCAACGCGUAGAACCUUACCUGGGUUUGACAUGGAUCGGGAGUGCUCAGAGAUGGGUGUGCCUCUUUUGGGGUCGGUUCACAGGCGGUGCAUGGCUGUCGUCAGCUCGUGUCGUGAGAUGUUGGGUUAAGUCCCGCAACGAGCGCAACCCUUGUUCACUGUUGCCAGCACGUUAUGGUGGGGACUCAGUGGAGACCGCCGGGGUCAACUCGGAGGAAGGUGGGGAUGACGUCAAGUCAUCAUGCCCCUUAUGUCCAGGGCUUCACGCAUGCUACAAUGGCUGGUACAGAGAGUGGCGAGCCUGUGAGGGUGAGCGAAUCUCGGAAAGUCGGUCUCAGUUCGGAUUGGGGUCUGCAACUCGACCUCAUGAAGUCGGAGUCGCUAGUAAUCGCAGAUCAGCAACGCUGCGGUGAAUACGUUCCCGGGGC